UAAUAGUAUUUAAUCGAUCGUGUGCAUGUUUGCGCACGUGUUACGAUUUGUCUUGUAAUCAUCUUUUAAUAGGUUUCUUAGUACUUUGUAUCGUAACAGGAAAUCCUACCAAUCGGUUAAGAGAAUCUGAAUUGUUAUUUGUGACUCUUUGAUGAUGACGUAAAGAAUUACUCUUGAAUGUAAUGCGUUAGAAUGACUUGUUGUAAGCUACUAAAGAAUUUAAGUGCGGCAUGAUUUGUUCUUAUACGAAUAGUUGUAAUAUGUGUAAUACAAUUGAUCAUGGAUACUAGUAAAAAACAUGAUAAUCCUAAUCCAAAAUUAUCGGCGAAUUUUUUUAGUAAAUUAAUAUUUUGGUGGUUAAAACCUCUAUUUUGGUAUGGAAGAAAUCAUGAUCUUGAACUUAAAGACAUUUAUAAUGUUAUGCCAAAUGAUGUUAGCCAACAUCUUGGAGAUAAACUUGAAAGAAAUUGGAUUAAAGAGAUAAAGUUAGCAGAAGAAACUAAUAAAAAGCCUAAAUUUUUUAAUGCUUUAAAAAAGACAUUCGCAUGGUCAUUUGGUUAUUAUGGAGGAUGGCAAUUUUUUUUAGCAGUUAUUUUAAGAGUUUUACAACCAUAUGUAUUAGGUUUUCUUAUUUGGCACUUUGAUCCUAGAGCAACAUCCACUGCCACUGAGGCAUACAUUUAUGCUUCAUCUGUUGUACUUAUAUCUUUACUUGGAGCUUUAAUUAAUCAUCACUCUAUGUUAGGUUUAAUGGAAGUUGGAAUGAGAAUGAGAGUAGCAUGUUCUUCUUUAAUAUAUAGAAAGAUUUUGCGUUUAUCAAAAUCUUCUACCAACAUUACUACUCCAGGACAAAUUAUAAAUUUACUCUCAAAUGAUGUAGCAAGAUUUGAACAAUUGUUUGUAGCAGUACAUUAUAUUUGGAUAUUACCGAUUCAAGGUGCUUUAAUUACUUUCAUGAUAUGGAAGAGUGUAGGAAUUGCAUCUUUAGCUGGAGUUUUUCUUAUAAGUAUUCAAACUAUACCUCUUCAAGGAUAUAUGGGAAAAUGGAUAUCAAAAUUGAGAUUAAAAAUUGCAAUUAGAACAGAUGAAAGAGUAAGAUUAAUGUCAGAAAUAAUUGCUGGAAUUCAAGUUAUAAAAAUGUAUACUUGGGAAAAACCAUUUGAGAAUUUUGUUAGUCUUGUCAGAAGUUAUGAGAUAGACAUCUUGACGCUUACAUCGUAUUUACGAGGUUUUACCUUAGCUACGUUUGUAUUUACCGAACGUACCACAUUAUAUUUUACAAUUAUGGCAUAUGUACUUCUCGGAAAUAGUAUAUCUGCUGAUAAAGUAUUUUCAAUGGCUCAGUAUUUCAAUAUUCUUCAACUUACUAUGGCAAUAUUAUAUCCUAUGGCUGUAUCAGCAGUAGCAGAGGCUUCUGUAUCUAUUAAAAGACUUGAGAAUUUUCUUUUAUUGAAAGAAAAUACUAACAUAAUUCAUUCACAACAAACUAAUGGAGAUGGUAAUAUUAUAAUGAAAAAUAUUACAGCAUCAUGGACAGAAAAUACAAUAGCAAAUACUUUACAUGGUAUUAAUGUUCAAAUAGAAUCUCAUAAACUUUAUGCUAUUGUUGGUUCAGUUGGUGCAGGAAAGAGUUCAUUUCUUCAAUUAAUUUUAAGAGAACUACAACAAUCACAAGGAGAAAUACGAAUAAAUGGUACUGUAUCUUAUGUUAGUCAAGAAGCAUGGUUAUUUUCGGGUACAGUGCGUAACAAUAUACUUUUUGGACAAUCUUAUGAUAAAGAAAAAUAUAAUGAAGUUAUUAAAGUAUGUGCUCUUAUUAAAGAUUUUCAACAGUUUAAUUAUGGAGACAGAACUUUAGUUGGAGAUAGAGGUGCAGCACUCAGUGGUGGACAACGAGCAAGAAUUAAUUUAGCAAGGGCCGUAUAUAGAAAUGCAGAUAUUUAUUUAUUAGAUGAUCCAUUAUCAGCAGUUGAUACUCAUGUAGGAAAACAUUUAUUUAAUGAAUGUAUAAAACACUAUCUUCGAAAUAAAACAAGAAUUCUUGUAACUCAUCAAAUACAGUACUUAAAAGAUUGCGAUUACAUCAUUUUAUUGAAUAAUGGUAAAAUUGAAUGUGAAGGUACAUUUGCAGAACUUCAAAGCAAACGUAUAGAUUUUUUAAAAAUGCUUUCAAUAGAAGAAAAUAAAGAAAAUUCAGAAAGUUUGGAAAUUGAUGAAAGUACUACAUUUGAUACAUCUAUUAAUUAUAACAACAAUAAAGAUGAUGAAGAAACGGAGCCAAAAGAAACUGAAGAAUUAAUGGCUAAAGGAAAUGUUUCUAAAUCUCUUUAUUGGAAAUAUUUUCGAGCUGGGGGUUCUAUUCUGAUGAUUCUAACUUUUAUAUGGUCCUUAGUCUUGGGACAGAUAGGAAGUAGCGGUUGCGAUUAUUGGGUUGCUUAUUGGUUAAUAUUUAUUGGACAAAAAAAAGAGGAAAUGCACAUUAAAUAUUAUAUUAAUAAUAAUCAUACGCUGCAAAUAUUGAAACAAAAUCUCACAACUUCAUUUUCUUCUAAUGAUAUGAAUAAUUUAAUGAACAAGACAUUUUUAUUAAAAUAGAUAAUUUUAAUGAUACAAUUUCAAACUUUUCAACAUUAGAAAAUAACAGUUUUAAUAAUUCUGCAUGGAAUAUUAACGCAACUUCUAAAGAUUUAAGUUAUCUCGAUCGUGAUACUGCUUUGUGGAUUUAUGGAAGUUUCAUCAUUACAAGUAUAGUGUUGACAUCCAUAAGAAAUAUCGUAUUUUAUAAAAUAUGUAUGAAUGCUAGUAAAAAUCUUCAUAAUCUUAUGUUUUCAUGUUUAUUAAAAGCGCCAAUGCUAUUUUUUGACACACAUCCUUCUGGUCGCAUUCUAAAUCGUUUUUCAAAAGAUGUUGGAUCGGUAGAUGAAAUUUUACCGAGAACAAUGAUAGAAUCUAUUCAAAUAUUUGCAGUAAUGGUUGGAAUUUUAGGACAAGUUCUUAUUAUUAAUUGGUGGACAAUAUUUCCUAUGUUUAUUAUGGGCUUCUUAUAUUGGAAAAUACGAAAUAUUUAUCUUAGUACUGCACAAAAUAUGAAACGUUUUGAAGGAAUUACAAAAAGUCCAGUUUUUUCCCAUGUUAGUUCUUCAUUAUUAGGAUUAACAACAAUUCGUUCUGCUUGCGCACAAAAUAUGGUUCGUAAGGAAUUUGAUGUUCAUCAAGAUCUUCAUACUAGUGCUUAUUAUUUGACUAUAACAACAAGUACUGCUUUUGGAUUUGCAUUAGAUAUUGUCUCUAUUUGUUUCAUUGCUUUUAUUACAUAUAGUUUCAUUGUACUCGAUGACGGAAAUACAUUUGCGGGAAAUGUAGGAUUAGCCAUAUCUCAAGUAUUAAUCUUGUGUGGAAUGCUUCAGCAUGGAAUGCGUCAAACUGCAGAAACGAUAGCACAAAUGACAAGUGUAGAACGAAUUCUACAAUUUACACAACUCGACAAAGAAGGAUCAUUUGAAAGUGAACCUAAUAAGAAACCACCUGCAGAAUGGCCUUUUAAGGGAGAAAUUAAUUUUGAUCAUUUAUACUUACGUUAUGAAGAUUCAGCACCACCAGUUCUUAAAGAUUUAUGUUUUACUAUUAAAGCUGGUGAAAAAAUAGGAAUAGUUGGUCGUACUGGUGCUGGUAAAACAUCGCUAAUAUCAGCUUUGUUUCGCUUAGCUAAACUCGAAGGUUCUAUUUAUAUAGAUAAGUUGGAUACAAAACAAAUAGGUCUUCAUGAAUUACGAAAGAAAAUUUCAAUUAUUCCACAAGAGCCUGUAUUAUUCUCAGCAACACUUCGAGAUAAUCUUGAUCCUUUUCAUAAUUUUGAUGAUGCUACUCUUUGGUCUGCUCUCGAAGAUGUAGAAUUAAAAACAAGUAUCUCUUCUCUAGAUUAUAAUGUUGAACAAGGAGGAGCUAAUUUUAGUGUUGGACAAAGACAAUUACUUUGUUUAGCACGUGCAAUUUUAAGAAAUAAUAAGAUUCUACUUCUUGAUGAAGCUACAGCUAAUGUUGAUCCUACAACAGAUGCUUUAAUACAAAGAACUAUUCGACAAAAAUUUAAAGAUUGUACAGUAUUAACCAUAGCACACAGAUUAAAUACUAUAAUGGAUAACAAUAAAGUACUAGUUAUGGAUCAUGGAAUGGCAAUUGAGUUUGAUCAUCCAUACAUUCUACUUAAAAAUGAAGAAAACCAUUUUACUAGAAUGGUCAAAGAAACUGGAAAAGUAAUGUUUGAACAACUUAAAAAAAUUGCAAAAGAGGCUUAUGAUGAUAUAAUCACUGAUACAACAUUACAAUCAUCACCACAAGUUAUAGAUAAUGAUGAUAAUUAGAUUUUUAAUAAAUACUAAUAUUGUUCCUAUUUAAAUAAUUCUUUAUUUUAUGUAUAUAAUGACAUUUUCUGCAAUCAAAUUUUAUAAGUUAAAUUGUAUACAAUAUUUUUAUGUACUUUUUUAAAUUAUAAUAUCUUUAAUACAAUUUCUUAAAUUCUACUUAAUGUAAAAAUAUUAAGCACA
Non-coding RNA from Apis florea (little honeybee), 4544 nucleotides. The record is from RefSeq and is a predicted model, not a curated record. Lineage: Eukaryota; Metazoa; Arthropoda; Insecta; Hymenoptera; Apidae.